Molecule: ribosomal RNA, 254 nt
Filed under: uncultured bacterium
Lineage: Bacteria
Description: partial 16S ribosomal RNA
Rfam family: Bacterial small subunit ribosomal RNA
Source: RNAcentral
UACGUAGGGUCCGAGCGUUGUCCGGAGUUACUGGGCGUAAAGGGCGCGCAGGCGGCGGUUGCCGGCCCGGCGUGAAAGCCCCCGGCUCAACCGGGGAGAGUCGUCGGGGACCGCACCGCUUGAGGGCGGUAGGGGCUGGUGGAAUGCCGGGUGUAGUGGUGAAAUGCGUAGAGAUCCGGCAGAACACCUGGGGCGAAGGCGGCCAGCUGGGCCGACCCUGACGCUGAGGCGCGAAGGCGUGGGGAGCGAACGGG